CCCUGAAAAUGGAUGGCGCUGGAGNGNNCCACUUAUUCCGGACCGUUUGGGCAAUGGUCUCUAAAGCCAAGCUCAAACGAGUAGGAGGGCCGCUGUGGUGAGCGUCGAAGCCUGAGACGUGAGUCUGGGUGGAG
This 134-nucleotide ribosomal RNA is filed under the name Oncomelania hupensis. RNAcentral's name for it is "partial 28S ribosomal RNA". It matches the Rfam family "Eukaryotic large subunit ribosomal RNA", at positions 1310 to 1432 of the family's 3401-position model. Lineage: Eukaryota; Metazoa; Mollusca; Gastropoda; Littorinimorpha; Pomatiopsidae. The record is from RNAcentral.